CUGCAUCUUGUCGCAUAGGCUUUAGCAGAGGAGUGUUGAUCGCGCGCCUUUUUCUGCUUGUGACGAACCUCUAAAUCACCUGAUACUUUAUGGUGUGCUUGUGUAUGUCUGUACACCUCUACCCCCUCUCACGAUAAAACUCACGCACCCCACGCACUGCUGCACUGUCGCACUUACAAACUCGAGAAAGAUGAUACACGUGGGCAACUGCUAUAUUCCGUGGGAAGUGUUCACGCUCGCGGAGCUGCGCGCUGUCUCUUGCCAAAUUGUCUUACUCGCCAUUUGGGGUGCUGUGGUGGGCCCACUUUGCCGCCGCGGCGUUGCUGGGGUCGCUUUCUUGGCUUGCUACACGGUCGGCAUGUUCUUCUUCCAACGGCGCCUCGCCUCCGGACUCCCGGUGCGCUUUCUUUCUCUGCGUGCAUGGCGGUCGUCGCCCGAAAACUUCAGAAAGACGUCGGCGUUCCUGAAGGCGCUGAAAUCAAAGACACCCGCUGCCGGUGUUUCAGCGGAGGGAUUUGGUGCGCGCCCGGUUGUGGUGAUGACCGGUGGAGAACGUGGAAUCGGCGAAGAGGUUGUGCACCAGCUUCUGCGCGAGGGCGUGGACGUUAUCCUUUGCUGCCCAUUCGAAGCGGAGGCGCUGCGCACCAUCGCGAGGCUGAAAGCUUGCGUCUCGAAUUCGCGGGUGCAUUUUGCGAAGCUGGACCUCAACGACGAGGAAAGUGUGCGCGGGUGUGCCGCGGAGGUGCUGGGUAUGACGCCGCGGAUUGACGUGCUCAUCAACAACGCCGGAUUGGUCAGCCCGUUCGCGUACAGGCUGAACAAGCGCGGCUACGAGGUGGUACUGUCGAUCAACUUUCUCGGCCACGUUCUCUUCACAGAGCUCCUGCUGGAGCGGGUGAAGGCAAGUGGCCCCUCCCGCAUUGUCAACGUGGCAUCGCUCAUGCAUCUCGAUGCGUGUGUGCCAGGUCCAUGCAAGACCGCGCUCGACGUCAUGGCCGCCAACUGCGACCCCACAUCACCCCAUCACACGCACAACUACAGCCUUUCGAAGUUGCUCCUCGUGUGCUACACCCGCGAUUUGGCGAGGCAUCUCCGCGGAACGGACACUGCGGUGGUAGCGCUGCACCCGGGUGUGGUGCUCACGGACAUCUACGCCUUUGGGGCCAUCUUUAUGAAGGCCUUCUUACGGACAGUGUUCAAGUUUCCUGGUGAGGGCGCCGAGGUGGUCCUCUACUGCGCCUUGGCGGACAAUAUUCGCAGUGGAUCUUUCUACGCGGACUGCGCGGAGUACAACAGUCUCCUCUCUCCGCUCGCUGUCGAUGACGCACACAACGAGCGCCUCCGACGCGUGCUGCUGCGCUACUUUACACUGGACGGCUCCAAGCCGACUGGCAAGUUGCUAGCGGAUGUCGUGCAGUCGACGCCGUGAUCGGCGGUGCACGAAACUCCGCGUCUGAUGAACCGGCGGCGGCGGUAUGCACAACAAAGGUGCUAUGUGCACAAUUCCGAAGCCUACUCUUCUCCCCACCCAUCAAACUCAGCAUACGGCGCUGCAUGGGUGCGGGAUGGGCAAGGCACUUCAAAGAAAUGCUCCGCAUGUCCCUUAUGCUGGCAGGGUCGGCGAUCGUGCUGCGGCGCCAGAGGACUGCGGCGACAAGAGCAAUAAUACUUGCGUUUUACUCUCCCGUCUGUUGUCCCUUCUUUAAUUCGUCCCCAUCUCAUCUUUCUUUCUUAACGUUCAUGUGCAUAUAGGCACUGAACACUCCGCCUUUUCCACCACGCCUUUCCAUGUUCUCUCGUUUUUUGUGUAUGCUCUAUCACUGAUAUUGGUCUUGCCCUACACGACCUGGUCCUCUCUUUUAGACCAAGCUAUGUGCACCUCUCUCUCGUUGUAUCUUUCCCUCCCUCUCUCACUGGCCGUGCGGUCUCUCAGGAGUGUGACCGGGUCGUAUAAUGUGGCAGUGCGCGUGGUCGACAUGCAGUUGGCUGCUUUUGCGCAGGAUGGAAGUAUUGGCAUCGCAGAUCAGUGCAGACGGAGAGGAGAUGUGCGGCUCACACGAACACUGGUGCACCUUACUUUCAUUGCGUGCCUCUUCCCCCUCCUGUGCGAGGUGGCCGAGCGCAUGAGCCGGCACUGACCGUUCAACAGUUUUGGGUACUGAAAGCAAAACAAAUAUAAGCAUACACG
RNAcentral lists this unclassified non-coding RNA (2188 nucleotides) under Leishmania donovani. RNAcentral describes it as "gene:LdHU3.10.0150(CDS-product:dehydrogenase-like _protein)". The record is from RNAcentral. Lineage: Eukaryota; Euglenozoa; Kinetoplastea; Trypanosomatida; Trypanosomatidae.